RNAcentral lists this ribosomal RNA (301 nucleotides) under uncultured bacterium. RNAcentral's name for it is "partial 16S ribosomal RNA". It matches the Rfam family "Bacterial small subunit ribosomal RNA", at positions 509 to 807 of the family's 1533-position model. The record is from RNAcentral.
CAGCAGCCGCGGUAAUACGAAGGGGGCUAGCGUUGUUCGGAAUUACUGGGCGUAAAGCGCGCGUAGGCGGUUACUCAAGUCAGGGGUGAAAUCCCAGAGCUCAACCCUGGAACUGCCUUUGAUACUGUCGAUCUGGAGUAUGGAAGAGGUGAGUGGAAUUCCGAGUGUAGAGGUGAAAUUCGUAGAUAUUCGGAGGAACACCAGUGGCGAAGGCGGCUCACUGGUCCAUUACUGACGCUGAGGUGCGAAAGCGUGGGGAGCAAACAGGAUUAGAUACCCCCGUAGUCCCUGUCUCUUAUAC